Molecule: transfer-messenger RNA, 371 nt
Filed under: Bacteroidales
Lineage: Bacteria; Pseudomonadati; Bacteroidota; Bacteroidia
Also listed under: 1 other name
Description: TTA-H9 sp002418865 Standard tmRNA
Rfam family: transfer-messenger RNA
About the family: Bacterial tmRNA, also known as 10Sa RNA or SsrA, is named for its dual tRNA and mRNA-like properties.
Source: RNAcentral
GGGGCUGAUUGGUUUUGACAGCAUGAUGGUGGAACUGUAAGCAUGCCGGGCGUCGGGGAAAGGCCCGUAAUAACUACCCUAAUGCCAAUAAAUGGCAACAAUUACAACUAUGCAAUGGCUGCUUAAUCAGGAAGAUUAAGUGCUGUGCUGUCCCCCAGGAAGCUUUGCCUUGCAGCGUCCUGGUAAGGGCAUCGUAAAUGCGGGGCUGCGUAAGGUUUUGUCCCGAAACCUUACUAAGAAAAUAGGGACUCAGGAAUUUGGCGGAUGAGUCCCUGCUUUGCCAGAUUCCGAAACAUCCACAGGGAAUAAGCAUGUAGAAAGCAGUUUUGCUGUAUGUUUGGACCGGAGUUCGACUCUCCGCAGCUCCACUU